AACAAUAAAUAAAGAAUUUUAAUUUCUAUAAAAAUAGAUUAAUUUAGGAUUUUAAUUAAUUUAAUUAAACUUUAAAACCAAAGAAAAGAAAAGAAAAGAAAAGGAAUACGAAAGGGAAUUGAAAAGACUUGGUCUUAAAUUCAAUUUGGGUCAAUUGAUGUUGAAGCCCAAAUUUUUGCCCCAAAGCCACCCGCCCAACUCCCUAAAUUCGGCUGACCCGCCCAAUAUACCUUUUAAUCUCCACCCUUAAUCCCAUCUAACCCAACAACCAUUAUUAAUUCCCACCACCAUAUAAAAACCUAAUUAUAACACCCGUAAAGCCCUAAACCUAAUUCCCCAUCUCCCAAACGGCAUUUCUUUGUGUUUUUCUUUCUUUUUUAUACCUUUCAUAAAUUCAUAGAGGAAUUCCGUAUAUUUUCACAUCUAGGAUUUACAUAUACAACAUAUACCACUGUCAAGGGGGAGAUUCAUAGAGGAAUUCCGUAUAUUUUCACAUCUAGGAUUUACAUAUACAACAUAUACCACUGUUAAGGGGGAAGUUCUUAUUAUUUAGGUUAGUUAGUUAUUUCCAUUUCAAAAAAAAAGUAAAAAAGAAAAAUUGGGUUGUGCUAUAUAUAUAUAUGAAAGAGUAUACAAUAAUGAUGUAUUUGGCAAAUCAAAUACCAUGGUCUAAUAAUCAAACAUUCUGAUUAGUUGAUAAUAUUAGUAUUAGUUGGAAAUUUUAUGAAAGAUUCCUGUGAAAAGUUUCAUUAACGCGGAAUUUGUGUCGAGUAGACCUUGUUGUUGUGAGAAUUCCAGCCUCACUCUUCCUCCACCUUCUUCCGCGCCAAAACCGCCCAUAUUCACCGGAAAAUUUCCUCUUACCAUCACAUGGUCUCUCCUCUCAUUCCCUUCCACGUGGACUAAUAAAUAACGAAUUGUGUACAAAUCGAAUCGUACUACUUCUCCCUUACGCGCUCAUCUUAUCCGAAAUAAAUUUAAAGACGAGAUUAGGAUGAAUGGGAGGCGUAAGAUUGAGUCUCACUCGAUCUACUCCCUCCACUUGUCUUUUACUCGUUUCAAGAGAUAGAAUUUCAGAUUUUCCAGAAAGGGUAAGAUUUUUCAUGACUUGGAAAAAAGAUAGAAGCUUCUGGAGCUUCUAUAUAUUGAGUGUCGUCUUGCUUUAGGGACAAAUUUGUUUUGGGGGAGGGAAAAAUUCUAGGGCUUGGAGAGUCUUCAGAUUUUGGGUCUAAUUUCUCUUUUUUCUAUUAUUUUUACCAGCAAAAAAUAAGAAAAGAAAAAUUUGUUUCAAUCAUCUUUUUUUUGAUUUUUUUGUUCUUAAGCAUAUAGUGAUUUUGAACUUUGAAUUUAUGCUCGAGUUUGGUUUAAACUAAGCUUGCCGUUUGAAAUAUUUGCUAAUUUGGUUUAAUCUUGAUUCUAGAUUUAAUUGGAAUGGAUUCUACUUUUGCUGCUGACCUGCUGUGAGCUCAUUUAGUAGCUGAUUUCUUUAUCUUUAUUUGGCAAAGGUUCAGUUUCAUUUUCAAGCUUGUGUACACAUUUAUAACUUGUAUUCUAUUUUGAUUUGUAUUGAAAUGUGAUCUGUCUGUUGCAGUUUGUUAAGCCUGUUGCUUGUUGGUUCUUUUUUGAACAUAGCUUGAAUGUUUGGUUUUGACAUAGCAAUUACAUGAAGUUUGGUUGUAGAUGGAAUGUGCUUUAGUAGUGAUGUACGAUUUGAACGUUUUGCAUUUCACCUAUUUCCACAAAAAUUCAAUAUAUGUACUGUUCAUAUUAUCAUAUGUUGCCUAGUUUGAGUAUUCAUUACCGAAGCUUAACAACAACAACAACAACAACUACCCAGUAUACUCCCACCAGGUGGGGUCUGGGGAGGGNNN
Molecule: long non-coding RNA, 1871 nt
Filed under: Nicotiana benthamiana
Lineage: Eukaryota; Viridiplantae; Streptophyta; Magnoliopsida; Solanales; Solanaceae
Description: long non-coding RNA (NBEN_LNC009901)
Source: RNAcentral